This 424-nucleotide ribosomal RNA is filed under the name Fusobacteriota bacterium. RNAcentral's name for it is "Fusobacteria bacterium partial 16S ribosomal RNA". It matches the Rfam family "Bacterial small subunit ribosomal RNA", at positions 355 to 776 of the family's 1533-position model. The record is from RNAcentral. Lineage: Bacteria; Fusobacteriati; Fusobacteriota.
UGAGGAAUAUUGGUCAAUGGGCGAGAGCCUGAACCAGCCAAGUAGCGUGCAGGAUGACGGCCCUAUGGGUUGUAAACUGCUUUUAUGUGGGGAUAAAGUGCGUGACGUGUCAUGCAUUGCAGGUACCACAUGAAUAAGGACCGGCUAAUUCCGUGCCAGCAGCCGCGGUAAUACGGAAGGUCCGGGCGUUAUCCGGAUUUAUUGGGUUUAAAGGGAGCGUAGGCUGUCUAUUAAGCGUGUUGUGAAAUUUACCGGCUCAACCGGUGGCUUGCAGCGCGAACUGGUCGACUUGAGUAUGCAGGAAGUAGGCGGAAUUCAUGGUGUAGCGGUGGAAUGCUUAGAUAUCAUGACGAACUCCGAUUGCGCAGGCAGCUUACUGUAGCAUAACUGACGCUGAUGCUCGAAAGUGCGGGUAUCAAACAGG